GGAAUAUAGCUCACUUGGUAGAGCGCUUGCCUCACAUGCACAAGGCCCUGGGUUCGAUCCCCAGCACCA
Molecule: transfer RNA, 69 nt
Filed under: Marmota monax (woodchuck)
Lineage: Eukaryota; Metazoa; Chordata; Mammalia; Rodentia; Sciuridae
Description: tRNA.Val
Rfam family: tRNA (bases 7-64)
About the family: Transfer RNA (tRNA) molecules are approximately 80 nucleotides in length. Their secondary structure includes four short double-helical elements and three loops (D, anti-codon, and T loops).
Source: RNAcentral